UAAAAUUGAGAAAUUAGGGUUACUCUGUUGCGUCGUAUCAAAUCCUCUGAACUUCUUCCCCUUCACUCGCGAGCGGCGGCACGGUGAGCUUCGCUCUCCUCUCCGAUCGAAAAAUUACAGCACCGCCGUGAACCUCCUUGCUUCGAUCAUCACCUCUUCGUCUCUCAAUCCAACUCUCCAUCUCAGAUCCGUUACAUCUCGCCCCCGAUAAGCAAGAGGCUCAAUGAAGAUGGCGAGAAAUCCAGAGGCAAUACUUUGCUUCUUCUUCCUCUUUUACAUUCCGUAGAUCGUGACGUGUGCUGAUGAUAUUGUUUGUAUAUGAUUCGGCCAAAGUGAUGAAUGUUGAAGUUGUAAAUCGAUGAUGAUGAUGAUGAUGAUGCAGAAGUGUUGUAGUGAUAAGGAUAUCGAUUCAAAGAAGCCAAAGGUUCAAGGUUGAAUCUCGAUGCGGGGUUGAUGAUUCGGUUGCGAAUAGAUGAAGACGAUUGGCGAACUGUGAUGCUUCUGCGGAGUGAUUGAUGAAGAAUUCCGAUGAAGAUUCCGCAAUGAAUCAAAUCACGGCUAAGAGGUGUCGAAGAUUGGAGAAUAUUGAAGAUUGAGAGGGGGAAGAAUUGAAGAUUUCUGAACUGUUAUUGAAUAGUUAUGGAGAGUGGAGAGGAAGAUUGAAGAUGGCUGAAGCUUGAGGAUUGAAUUGAAGAAGGUGAAGGAGAUGGAUGAAGUUGCAGAGAGUGAAGUGAAGAUGAUGUGGAGGUGGAGAUGAAUGGGGAAGAGCAAAAAUGGUGAAGGGAGAGUGAAAGUGAAGAGAGAGUUGAACUUUGAUGAAUGAUGAAGAUGGAAAUGGUGUGAAGUGGAGAGAGCUUGAAGAAUGAAUUGAAGAAGACCCUGAACAAUGGUGAAGCCCCUGUUAUAUAGAGUUGAAGGGCUGUUUUCGAUCCGAAACUGUGCAGCGGAUUCAUGUUGGUUAAAUCCGUUGUUUGAAUAGAGUAUUAGGUUGUAAGUCCAACUCCAAUCAUCAGGAGCGUCCCUCCGAGAACCAUGGUUUAGGCAGUACCUCAGAAGCCGCUACUGAAUUCAAAGGUUGACAGUCAAGAUCCAACUCUUAUGGCAAAGCGAAUUCUGAAUCACCAUUGAAUGUCUCAUAAAGGCCUUUGUGUAGCGUCCUGGAAAUAGAAUGAAUGCUUUAGCAUAUGUGUAUGCUGGUUUGAACUUGACAGUAUUUUGUUUAUAAUCUUAUUGAAGGAUCUUGACUUGAAGUGUGGAAUGGCUGCCAUCCUUUUUGUAUGCAGGGAGCUAUUGUCUUGGUUGAAUGGUUUGAAGCUUUGAAGCAAACACACAAUUGAUGGAAGCUUAAAAUUAGGACAGUAGGCUAAGAGCAAAUUUUGUGGUUUGUCUUGUUGUAAAUGUAAUGUAAUGUAGUGUAAUGGUGUAUUUGGUACUGUACUGAUGUAAUGAUGAUGGCCUUGUAAUAACAUAACUCUUUUUUCAAAUAAAUGAAAUUAGAAUCCUUUCUUCCUUUUUUUUUUA
Molecule: long non-coding RNA, 1521 nt
Organism: Vicia villosa (hairy vetch)
Lineage: Eukaryota; Viridiplantae; Streptophyta; Magnoliopsida; Fabales; Fabaceae
Exons: 3
Source: RefSeq, a predicted model, not a curated record